Molecule: unclassified non-coding RNA, 252 nt
Filed under: Geastrum corollinum
Lineage: Eukaryota; Fungi; Basidiomycota; Agaricomycetes; Geastrales; Geastraceae
Description: partial internal transcribed spacer region
Rfam family: Eukaryotic small subunit ribosomal RNA (bases 1-46)
Source: RNAcentral
AAGUCGUAACAAGGUUUCCGUAGGUGAACCUGCGGAAGGAUCAUUACUGUAAGGAAAAACAGGGGUUUUGAGACUGCGUCGUCAAUUCGGCGUGUGCUCGACUCCUUACUUCUUUCAUCCACACACACCUUUGUGCACCAUGGGGUCGUAAGACCCCCUUUUUCCACAAACACCGAGUUAUAUGCAUGUUUAUUUUACAUACUUUACGGAGUAUAUAAAAAACAACUUUCAACAACGGAUCUCUUGGCUUUC